RNAcentral lists this long non-coding RNA (154 nucleotides) under Penaeus japonicus. RNAcentral describes it as "uncharacterized LOC122266999". Lineage: Eukaryota; Metazoa; Arthropoda; Malacostraca; Decapoda; Penaeidae. The record is from RNAcentral.
GCUGAGUUAGAACAAGUGUGCGUGUGUGUGUGUGUGUGCGAGGGUGCCAAUGUGGUCUGGCACUCCACCGUAACUGACAGCCCGGGUGUUGCUGUUGGAAUAGUCUCUGAAAUUAAUGCCCAUUUGUAACUUAGAAAAUGUGAAGCUGGUAGAU